CAUAUUAAUGCCCAUGAUUUUGGAAUGAGAUGUUCAAUGAGCAGGUGUCCACAUACUUUUGGUCAUGUAGUGUAUAAAUCUCCUGAUUCAAUGAUUAUUUAAUUAUCACUAUCUCACUAUCUGUAUUUUAUUUUUACACCAGAUGAACUCAAAGAAGAACUGAGGAGAGCUAAAGAGACCAUCCAAUCCCUCUCCACCUCUCCAGGAGGUCAACAGGAAACACAGACUCCUUCCCAAAAGUCUGAGGGGAUUGAAGGGAUGGAGAUGAAGACUUUACCAGGGAGGAAGUCUGCUCCUGAGAUGGAG
Salvelinus namaycush (lake trout) is the source of this 306-nucleotide long non-coding RNA. RefSeq lists it as uncharacterized. The record is from RefSeq and is a predicted model, not a curated record. NCBI's taxonomy places the organism in Eukaryota, Metazoa, Chordata, Actinopteri, Salmoniformes, Salmonidae. The transcript is spliced from 3 exons.